RNAcentral lists this long non-coding RNA (730 nucleotides) under Homo sapiens (human). RNAcentral describes it as "HSALNT0263941". The record is from RNAcentral. Lineage: Eukaryota; Metazoa; Chordata; Mammalia; Primates; Hominidae.
CUCAGCCGGGCCGCUGGGGCCGUGCAGUGCACCGGGCACGCCGCGCCAGGCUGGGGGCAGGCACCGAGCCUCCGUGGGAGGUCCCGAGGCAGCUUCGCCUGCUCGCCCUGGCUCCAGCCCUCACCUGCCGCAGCCUUAGCUGAGCAGCCGCCGCCACUGGGCGCCCCCCGCUCCCCACUUCGCCAGCGCCCGCUCCUCGGCUCGGCCCGGGGUAGUUUGUAGGGACGCAGCUCUCCACGUGCGCGACUGCGAGGCUGGACGCUACGGGCUCCUGGAAAGGAGCAGACACCAGCAUUUGCCACAAUGCUGUCAUCCACUGACUUUACAUUUGCUUCCUGGGAGCUUGUGGUCCGCGUUGACCAUCCCAAUGAAGAGCAGCAGAAAGACGUCACACUGAGAGUAUCUGGAGACCUUCAUGUUGGAGGAGUGAUGCUCAAAUAUAUCCCAAGACUGGUCAGACUUUGCUCUUUGGUGGGAACAGAAGCAUUGCUGGCUUCUGAAAACCCACUGGACCCUGGACAAAUAUGGGGUCCAGGCAGAUGCAAAGCUUCUCUUCACCCCUCAGCAUAAAAUGCUGCGCCUUCGUCUGCCGAAUUUGAAGAUGGUGAGGUUGCGAGUCAGCUUCUCAGCUGUGGUUUUUAAAGCUGUCAGUGAUAUCUGCAAAAUCCUGAAUAUUAGAAGAUCAGAAGAGCUUUCCUUGUUAAAGCCGUCUGGUGACUAUUUUAAGAAG